Molecule: long non-coding RNA, 990 nt
Filed under: Sinocyclocheilus anshuiensis
Lineage: Eukaryota; Metazoa; Chordata; Actinopteri; Cypriniformes; Cyprinidae
Description: lncRNA (ENSSANG00000045245.1)
Source: RNAcentral
UGCUGUCCUUUAUCUUUCUUUCCCACAGGCUUCCUGUUUUUUCUUUUAUUGCAAAUGAGUCUGCUCUCUAAAGUAUGGACAACUUCCACAACGGCUAUUCCAGAAAACACUCUGACAUCAGAUGCGACAUCAUCUACAAUGUCAGAAUCUGUAAGCCUAACUCAAUCUGCGGAUCCAGUAAGCAUGUCCUCCUCCAUUUCUACUGACCAGAUGGCCACAUCAGGCUCUUCAGUGACAGGAGCUUCAUCCGCCUCUAUACAGAACACUGCUUCUAACAGUGCUACUGUCGUCUCAACAGGUGUUACUAGUAUGGAGACAGUUUCAGCAAAUACAUCUUCAUCAGAAAAUUACACUGCGCUAUCCUGUCCAGCAUUUGCUUGCACGAAUGAUUGUUAUGACCAGUUCAUGAAUACGACAGCGAAGCCCUGCCAAUCCAGUGAAUAUUUCUGUAAGAUAAUGAAAGGGGACGCAGGUUACUCUGUCAGCUGCAGUGCCUCAUGUGGCGUGUCCUGCGGGAACGGGACUCUCAGUAAUUGCUCUGUCAACUGUUGCAACACAACCAACUGCCUCAACAACACUCUGCUUGCCAUGUCCAAUUCACUCAGUACCACAGUAGCUACAACAAAACCCACUACUACAACCACAACCAUAAAGACCACAGUUCCAACCACCCCAGCAAGCAAUGGCAAGAAGUGUCAUCAUGUCACGUGUAAUGGAGCAGCGUGUUACAAAUCCAAUAAUGUCAUCAGUAAGGUCAUGUUGUGUCCAGUUGGUCAGGACUACUGCAUGCUACAAAAGACAACAUCUGGCAUCACAGAGAGCUGGCAGGCGGGUUGCAGUACAGAUUGCAGAAAGAUGACAGUUUGUUCAAGCACCACUACUGCCUGUCACUUGGAGUGCUGCAGUGCCACUACAACCCUGUCAUGCCUCAAACUGACAGGUGAUGUGAACAUACCCAGCUCCGCCACCAGGGGUCCUCACUGUCCCGCA